Molecule: long non-coding RNA, 479 nt
Filed under: Pongo abelii (Sumatran orangutan)
Lineage: Eukaryota; Metazoa; Chordata; Mammalia; Primates; Hominidae
Description: lincRNA
Source: RNAcentral
CCAUAUGUGCCUACUGAAGAUUUAAAAUGUGGCUAGUGUGACUGGGAGCUGAAGUUUCCAUUUUAUUUAGACUUAACUAGCUCAAAUUUAAAUAGCCACAUGUAACUUAUGGCUUGGUAUUGGAGGGCAUAGAAUAUCUAUAGAAAAUCAAAAGCAGUGGGUAAAAAAUGAGGAAUCAGAAGAAGUAUUUCAGAAAUGUGAACUAUUGUCAGCUGUGAAGGUUCCAAGUGCUUUCUAGAUGGUGUAUUUAUACCUCAAAUCUCUGGAACUGGGUAGCAGAAGACAUUGCCUGGGGACUAUAUAAUUCAGCUCUGAUGGGGAUAUACAAUGACAAACAGAGGUAAAGUUAACCUCUACCUGUGGUUCAGGAGGAGGAGCGCACCCUGCCUUCUGUCCCUAACCUGCUCAGAACAUCAUCGACAAUGAGCUGUCUGUGCUUGAGAAGAUCUGCAGAACCAUGAGAAUGAAGAGAACUUCAU